AAUUGCAGAAUUCACUGAAUCAUCGAAUCUUUGAACGCACAUUGCGCCCUUUGGUAUUCCAAAGGGCAUGCCUGUUCGAGCGUCAUUUGUACCCUCAAGCUUUGCUUGGUGUUGGGCGUCUUGUCUCUCUCCCGAGACUCGCCUUAAAAUCAUUGGCAGCCGGCCUACUGGUUUCGGAGCGCAGCACAUUAUUUGCGCUCUUGUCCAGCCGCGGUCGCGCGUCCAUGAAGCUUAUUUCAACCUUUUGACCUCGGAUCAGGUAGGGAUACCCGCUGAACUUAAGCAUAUCAAUAAGCGGAGGAAAAGAAACCAACAGGGAUUGCCCUAGUAACGGCGAGUGAAGCGGCAACAGCUCAAAUUUGAAAUCUGGCUCUUUUAGAGUCCGAGUUGUAAUUUGCAGAGGGCGCUUUGGCUCUGGCAGCGGUCCAAGUUCCUUGGAACAGGACGUCACAGAGGGUGAGAAUCCCGUACGUGGUCGCUAGCUAUUGCCGUGUAAAGCCCCUUCGACGAGUCGAGUUGUUUGGGAAUGCAGCUCUAAAUGGGAGGUAAAUUUCUUCUAAAGCUAAAUACUGGCCAGAGACCGAUAGCGCACAAGUAGAGUGAUCGAAAGAUGAAAAGCACUUUGGAAAGAGAGUCAAACAGCACGUGAAAUUGUUGAAAGGGAAGCGCUUG
This 672-nucleotide ribosomal RNA is filed under the name uncultured Pyrenophora. RNAcentral's name for it is "eukaryotic LSU rRNA". The stretch from base 246 to 672 matches the Rfam family "Eukaryotic large subunit ribosomal RNA", at positions 1 to 425 of the family's 3401-position model. Lineage: Eukaryota; Fungi; Ascomycota; Dothideomycetes; Pleosporales; Pleosporaceae. The record is from RNAcentral.